GCGUUUCAGCCCCAUUCAGACAGCUAGGUGGCCUACCAAGCGUUGCCUGGGAGAAUUUUUUGUCGCUUGAAAAAAGGAGUCCAUUCAUUCUCUACAAUUUCUAUAGCAUAUCUUAAUUAAAAUGCCAAGAAGAUAUACCCUAAGAAUGGAGACCAGAGCACUGGGGGCUGUGCAAAUCAUGAAUGGCCUAAUUUACUGUGCAUUGGGGUUUCUUUGUUUUGCAUUAUUUAUCUCAGAAGAGGACAGGAAACAAACUGGUCAUAUCCCUGUUGUUGUUACACUAAUUUACAUAUUUUGGUCAGCACCAUUUUUCAUCAGCUCAGGAUCCACCAGUGUACACGCACAGAGGCGUCCUACAAAAUACAAGUUGGCUGGUAGUAUGCUUUUACAAUAUUUACUCUUCUGCACCAUCACAGAAGUGAUCUGUACAUGCAUCAUUAUCAGGUGGAUUGUAGCUGCAUUGUGUAACCCAGAAUACAGUGAAAAGAGUCCUUCACUCUCAGAAUCCACUGCCCCUACAUUAAUAUACAAAGAACCAGUGUGACUCCAGUCAAGAACAAAAGUACAAAGAACCAGUGUGACUCCAGUCAAGAACAAAAGUACAAAGAACCAGUGUGACUCCAGUCAAGAACAAAAGUACAAAGAACCAGUGUGACUCCAGUCAAGAACAAAAGAUUAACUGUGAAUUAGUGAAGAACUCAGUAACUUUUUUCAAGAGGCCCAUGGAAAAUACAUGCUAAUGAGGUCCUUUCUGGUAUAUCUUCUUCCUACUUCUUCAAUAAAGGAUGCAAUUUGAUCA
This 799-nucleotide long non-coding RNA is filed under the name Vulpes vulpes (red fox). Its description in RNAcentral is "lncRNA (ENSVVUG00000005317.1)". The record is from RNAcentral. Lineage: Eukaryota; Metazoa; Chordata; Mammalia; Carnivora; Canidae.